Molecule: transfer RNA, 63 nt
Filed under: Chiropterargas confusus
Lineage: Eukaryota; Metazoa; Arthropoda; Arachnida; Ixodida; Argasidae
Description: Argas confusus tRNA-Thr
Source: RNAcentral
UGUAUAAUAGUUUAAAAAAAACAAUGGUUUUGUAAACCAUAUUUGUGCACCUUAUACAUUCAG